This 858-nucleotide ribosomal RNA is filed under the name Amanita orientifulva. RNAcentral's name for it is "eukaryotic LSU rRNA". It matches the Rfam family "Eukaryotic large subunit ribosomal RNA", at positions 75 to 901 of the family's 3401-position model. Lineage: Eukaryota; Fungi; Basidiomycota; Agaricomycetes; Agaricales; Amanitaceae. The record is from RNAcentral.
UUCCCUUAGUAACUGCGAGUGAAGCGGGAAAAGCUCAAAUUUGAAAUCUGGCAGUCUAUUUUUUCUUCUUUGGCUGUCCGAGUUGUAAUCUAGAGAAGUGCUUACCUGCACUGGACCAUGUAUAAGUCUCCUGGAAUGGAGCGUCGCAGAGGGUGAGAAUCCCGUCUUUGACAUGGACUGCCAGUGUGUUGUGGUGUGCUCUCAAAGAGUCGAGUUGUUUGGGAAUGCAGCUCUAAAUGGGUGGUAAACUCCAUCUAAAGCUAAAUAUUGGCGAGAGACCGAUAGCGAACAAGUACCGUGAGGGAAAGAUGAAAAGGACUUUGGAAAGAGAGUUAAACAGUAUGUGAAAUUGUUGAAAGGGAAACGCUUGAAGUCAGUUAUGUCGGCUAGGGAUCAACCUAGCUCUUUUGCUGGGUGAAUUUCCUAUUCUGACAGGCCAACAUCAGUUUCGACUGCUGGAAAAGAGCGGAGGGAAUGUGGCACCUUCGGGUGUGUUAUAGCCCUUUGUCAUAUGUGGCAGUCGGGACUGAGGGAUGCAGCGUGCCGCGAGGCUGGGUUUCGACCACGUUCACGCUUAGGAUGUUGGCUUUUAAUGGCUUCAAUCGACCCGUCUUGAAACACGGACCAAGGAGUCUAACAUGCCUGCGAGUGUUUGGGUGGAAAACCCUUGCGCGCAAUGAAAGUGAAAGUUGAGAUCCCUGUCGUGGGGAGCAUCGAYGCCCGGACUUGAGCUUUUAGCGACGGAUCCGCGGUAGAGCAUGCAUGUUGGGACCCGAAAGAUGGUGAACUAUGCCUGAAUAGGGCAAAGCCAGAGGAAACUCUGGUGGAGGCUCGUAGCGAUUCUGACGUGCAAAUCGA